Molecule: non-coding RNA, 1498 nt
Organism: Coffea arabica (coffee)
Lineage: Eukaryota; Viridiplantae; Streptophyta; Magnoliopsida; Gentianales; Rubiaceae
Source: RefSeq, a predicted model, not a curated record
AAGGCUUGAAAGCAUUUCCCAAGUUGGAGAAAUUGACACUUGAGAACAUGCUUAACCUUGAAGAAUGGACCGGAAUGGAGAAUGGAGACUUUCCAUGCCUUCUUCAAAUGUCUAUAAUAUGCUGCCCAAAAUUAUAUGAUCUUCCAUUGCUUUCACAUUUUAAAGCACUCAAGAAACUUGAGAUAAGCUACUGUGCAGCCCUGCAAUCUUUGCAUGCAGAACAUCAACUUCCUCCUUCACUUCAAUCUUUAAUCUUAAGAGAUUGUCCAAAGGUUACAGAAAGAUGCCGCAAGGAUGGAGGUGAAGACUGGUUUAAGAUAGUUCAUGUGCCUAAUAUUUGGAUUGAUGAUGAAGAAAUUUCUCUCAAUUGAUAGCUCAAGUGAUACGAUCUCAUUACACAACUGAAUAAGCGGAAAUGCUGUUAUGGCAUCUGACAUACAAUCAUGCCUAUUCUUGUUAGGACAUCAUCGAGUCAUUUCUUAAGGUGUCAAUUUGAAGAGCAAAAAAGUCAUUUUUUGGGGUGUACAGACACCAUCUGUUUGUUCUUGGGUGUGGUGUAAACUGCUUAAGCUAAGGCGUUAGGUACACCAUUAUAUCAUGCAUGUGAUAGAUGUUGGGGAAAAUACGAGUUUUUGGUUUGAUUUUUGGCAACUUAUAGGCCCUCCACACCAGAAGUUCAGUGGGAAAUUUCUCCAUCCUCUUGGUCUUAUUGUAAAGGGUCUAAAGUGGCUCAAUUUAUUAAAUGUAGGGAUUGGCAAUGGCCUCAAGGUAGAAAGUUUAAUCUCAAGGUGAGAAGGUUGAACUUGGCUACUCCAAUAUGCUUUGUUCCUCUUCCUGAUAGCUCUGAUUCUAUCUACUGGACUGCCAGUACACCUGUUCAGUUUCUUUGAAAUCAGCGAUAGAACCCUCGUGUCUUGAGAUGUCCAGGCAGUAAAGUUGAAUGGUACCAGUUGGUGUGAAGCACAGGUUUUGUUCUCAAAUUUUCUUCAUCCUGUGGCUUGCAUGUAAGAAGAAGCUGUUGACCAGAGACAGGCUAAGGAGUUGAAAGUACCGGCCUUUUGUUUUACUUAUCACGUUGCAUGCAAGUGCUUGGCCUGAUGAGCUACAUUGGAUGUGUCACCAUUGGAAGGGCAAGUGUUUUUGCUGUCAAUUUGAAGAGGCUAAUGCUAGCUGUUACAGUCUAUCAACUUUGGCGAAUGAGGAAUGAGGUAAUAAAUUCAGCAUCGUUCUCCCUCAACUUGUGCUGUUGUAGCUGGAAUUGUUGGCAUAGUUUAGAUUGGCUGUGAGUAUUUGGAGAGAUGUUCCUUGUACAAAAGAAAAUCGGGAUUUAGCAUUGGGGUUUGUAACAUGGGAUUUUUUGAGCAUGAUUUUUUUAAAAAAAAUAGAAAUAUCUGUUUUGGUGGGAUUUGUUCAGCAUGAUUUAGGGAGAGGGGGAGGGGACACAUUGUAUAAGGAAAUCUGUUGGUAUAUUACAUUGUUAGAGAGAUAUUUGUUACAA